Molecule: non-coding RNA, 4640 nt
Organism: Anas platyrhynchos (mallard)
Lineage: Eukaryota; Metazoa; Chordata; Aves; Anseriformes; Anatidae
Source: RefSeq, a predicted model, not a curated record
CUUGAAGAUAAAAUAAAAACUUACAGGUGUUUACAACAUUAGUUUUACAAACAACUGUAAAAACUAGACAGCAUAAACUCAGUGUCUAAAUCUGUCCUCUCUCUCUUCAGCAGCUUCAAGCUCUGCACUUGCUGACUGCUGAGACUCUUUGUCACUGGUUGGCCAUCUUGACUGUCCUUGCUUUUCUUUGUCAGGCUUCCCUGCCUCCUGACUCUUCUCCACUCCGCCCUGAAGUGAACUGCUAAAAUCUCCUCUGAAUUUCUCCAGUGGUUUCCUGUUAUUACUGCAAACUCAAAAAGCUUCUUCCUCAGUUACAAUACUCUGUAUGUUUUCCACACCAACUACAUCUUUGCUCCCUCCAACUCCUCCCUUAUCAUUGUCUCCGCUAUUAUUUUCUCAGCAUUGCAUCUUUUGCUUACACCCAGAAGAGCUUCUUACUUCUCUUCAGCCACCUUUUUCUCCUAACCUCAUCAGCCAGUCUGUUUAUCCAGGACCAUCUUUUUUCUUUUUACUCAUUAACCACCAAUAGUCUAAUCUUCCCUUAACACACUUCUUCACGGCUUGAUUUUGCCUCUCUACAUUGACUUCUGAACUCCUCAAGACAAGAAUUGUAUCUUGUUGUUUGUUUCUCGAGCAUAAUUUCAAAAUACGCAGGGAAGAAAAGGUUGGAACAAAUAACCCAAAUGCCCCAGGAGUUUCCUGAAGACAAAUGGAUUGAAUCCAAGAGGGAGUUCUGCUUUACGUGAGAGCAAACAAGCAGCUACAAAAGAAAAAACAGAAGAUACUCUGUGAAGGCAAUCACUAAUGCAGUCACACAGUUACAAGAAGAAAUUGUGCAUGGAAGCAGUUUUAUUAUUGCAAACAACUCAAAGAUGUGCAUUUUGUGUAUUUCUCAGUUGGCGUAACUGUGCUAUAUUUUUUCGCUGAGAUGGAAAUAGCACAGCCUUAGACAUGCCCAUGAGACAGCCACCUCCUGCACAAAUCAGUGUUGCCACCCUUGAAGCUGACCAUAUUAAUGGGGAAAUAAAGGACGUAGGUUAACAGCUUCAGUGUUAACUUCAGUGUAAAACUAGUCCCUUAUUUCCAAUUUCUAGCUCUAAAGUGUUGUUGCAUUUGGCAGAUGCCGUCCAAUUUGAUGCUUAUUUUAAUGGAGUGACCACAGAAAGCCAAAGCAAUGGGAAACAGCCUGAGCAAAAUUCAUCACCGUCAUGAAGAAAUGCAGUCGGUCUGGAAGCUCAGGCUGUUGUCUUUCUCCAGCAACCUUUUAGUUGUUAACCAGACAGCCAUUUCACUAGCACGUUUUGCUUGUUUCUGAAGGCACAGAUGAAAAAUGAAGCUGCGAAGGUUAAUAAAGGUACGCGCAGUGUUUCGCUAGGGACAGCUGCAGCUCGUCUAAACCUGCACUUUCUCUACCGCAGUCAACGGAGCAAUAACAGUUCACCAAGGCUGAGGCUUUGCCUUCAAAAGUCUACAUGGGCUUUUUUCUGCACUCUAUUCCAUGCCAGAAAAAGUGUUGAUUGGGCAAAUCACUCAGAGUACAGUUGUACCAUUCAAAACGAACAUAAACCGAUGAAGAGACAGAUCAAACAGCAAAACAAAGCUGAGUAAAAGCAUACAACCAAGCCACUGCCAAACAGAACCACCAAAGAUUGCGCACAGCAGAGCUGUAAAACGUGCAAGAUAAUGAGCGUGAUGCAGCAUGCUGGAGAACUAGCUGCAACUCAUAACUAGGUUGUAACGUGCUGACUUCAAAAACCCCUCUAGAAGAAUGAAUCAUAACAGGUUGCAUGCAAUCACUCAUGUACAGAGACUACAGAAAUAUUAAGCUUUCAUAAAGCCUUUGAAAAUAUCUGGAAAACAAGUCAGGCAAUAUUUAAGUAAGGCUAUGAAGAAAGUGCAGAACCAGUAAGUCAUAUCGAGCUGUCACACACACACAAUAAAGACGCUGAAAAUACACUCACAGACAACUUCCUAAAAAGACAAGAGAUCAAAACCAGCACUUUGUAUUUUAUUCUAGUGAAGAUUAAAUAGAUAGCAAAUUGUACACUACACGGUAGAAACACAGCUGUUCGAAUUCACUUUUUUUUUUUUUUCUAGUCAUAAAAUACCACACUGUUUCUGCACAGGAAAGAAUGUAACUCCAGAUAGAAGCAGGGCUACAAAUGUCCGGAGGCCAAAUGCUGGAGAGAUCAAACGAACUCCUCCAUCCCUCCCUUGGUCACUCAACAGCCUGCCAGCCCCUGGCUUCUCGACAAACUCCAGAAUGGCAGCGAAAUAUAGAUAAAAUCUGGUGCACUGCAUUGACACCCCCCCCGCGAUGCAGGACGUUGUGCAAGCCCCCUCCGACGCCGCACAGACUUCCAAAAGCGCGGGAGGUGCCCGGGCGCAGCCAAGACCCGAGGCAGGGUGAGACCGCUCGGUGCUGAGCCCUGCUUCACGCCCAGCUCCCAGACCACUCACCCGUGACACAAACAUCUCUCACAGACGUCAGGGGCAUGGGAUACACGCAAAUUUUCCUUAUAUACAGCGCACACGCCACCCCAGCAACUAAACAAGCAUGAAGUGAAGCACAUUCGGUUUUCCCCCUAAGAAGAGCGAGUUUAAAGAAGUAGGAAAAAGAGCAGUCAGGGAACUGAGGAAGCCAGGGUUCAAGUUCUUGGUCUACCACAGAGUUUCUGUGUGACCCCGGCCGAGUUGUUUAUUCCCUGUGUGCCUGAGCAAUGGCUCCGUGGGUGGCUCUGAGGAGAAAUACGUUGAAAACUGUGAGGCAUCUGGAUACGGGAAUACCCGAGAGCUCUCGAACUGGCAUAUUUAUACAGACAGAAACCACUCCGAGACAAUAACUCAGACGGCAGCGAGUUACAAAAUAAUACAUGCAUUAAUCUUGACAGCAAACGUUGAAGUAAGCAUAAGCAAAGGAAAAUAUUAGAGGACGCAAGAACGGUGAUGAUUUCCUUCAGCUAAUUACACGGUCCGAGAACUUAAGUGCUACCUGGACUGCGGAGCCACGUCCAGCCUGGGACAGAAGCAAAUGUACUUGUUCUGUCUGGCCUACACCAGACAAGGGAUUCUGCUCUGUGAGAUACUGACCCCUCAGUGGCAAGGAAGAAUGGCUGCCUACAAACCUUUUUCUCCUGCAGCAUCAGCCUCCAACUCCAGUUACGUUCAAGCAAAACUGGGAAACUGCCAAGCAGUGUCAGCACACUGCUCCAGAAAGAGGUUUUCUGGUGCUAGUCUCUGACACUGAAAUUAUUCCCCAGGAAAGAACAUCACCACGGGGCUCACCUCAGUCAGAACUAAAAGGGCUGGACUUUUAUUUCUUCCUUCGCUUUCCACAUGAAUACACAGCUAUCGGGCAAUUUCCUUCAUAACCUGGGAAAGAAGAACGUAUUUGUGAAGUAUCUGGGAGGUGCACACACAUUAGCUGGAUGGUAAAUGCAUGAAACAGAUGGGUGGUGCUGGAUUAGGCCUGCCAGCAAGAAGGGCUGAAGUACAGCAGCAGGAGAAAGGGAAGGCCCAGAAGACUUCGCCAGGAGCAUCACCAGCCCCACGUCACCCAGUGCUCCUCAGGUGCCCUGUGCGGGGAGGCCCAGGGCACCGCCACCUCCAGGGCUGGGCCUGUCACCUCAGAAGAGAAGUACCUCACGUCUGCUGAAUGGGUUCAAGAAACAAGAAGAGAAAACAGGGGAAGAAAAGACUGUCCAGUCUAACCUUUAUUUCCUUCCCUAGCAAGACCCCGCGGAGCUGCCCAGAGGGAGACGAGCAGUCCCCUCAGCCCACCCGCACUGCUGCGGCCGGGAGGAACAGGGUGGAAAUGUAACACAGGAGCAAACAGCUGGGGUAAAAACUGCUCAACAGGACCGUGGAAGAAGCCUGCAGAAAUCCAUGGCAUUUCAGAGCAACCCAGACGUUGCAGAACCACUACUAUGUUCAUUUCCUCCUCCAAGCAUUAAUAAUUUACCAACUUUUUUUUAGAGGCAGCGCUGAAGCUGCAUCAUUGCAUUCCAAGCAAAGGCCAGGUAUUCACACAGCUGUUUGUUUUCCUUUGUCUCUUGGUUCAGCCUUGUGUUCCAGCCCCACUCGCCUUCUGUAAAUCCCUCAAGAAAGCUAGUCGGAAUGAAACCCAAGAUUUUAUUAAGCUACAAAAGAAAAUAAAUAAUGUUGAAGCUUAUGUGAAUAUUUAGAAACUUUUCCAAACACGAGGAUGAAUGUGCAGCUCUUGUGAUGAGAUACAGGAAAAAAUAAUUCCAUUAAAGGGCCACUUAUGCCCAGAAAGAACAUUCAGAAAGAGAUGGAAAAAAAAAUAAAGGCAAUAACAUAAUUUUGGGCCCUACAUACUCCCUUGCCUGUCCACCAGGGACAGGACAAAGCUUUCCUGGGAAGAGCUGUCACCUUUGGCACAAAUGGAAGAAUUUCUCUUCCUCAGAUCCAAGCUAUCUCCUGGGUUGCACAGCUAACACAAGAUCCAGUCACAAAUCGUAACCAGAUGCAGAGCUGGUUUCUAAGCCUCACACAAGAAAUCUCGCUACCUCUGCUGCUCAGAGCAAUCCAGGACUGUUAUAAAAAAAUGUUAGAAACCUGCUAGAAGGAUCCACUCACCACUCAGCGAUUAUACUAACAGACUUCUCACAAAAAAAAAC